This is a non-coding RNA of Brachypodium distachyon (stiff brome), 374 nucleotides long. The record is from RefSeq and is marked provisional. NCBI's taxonomy places the organism in Eukaryota, Viridiplantae, Streptophyta, Magnoliopsida, Poales, Poaceae.
UCAACGCCAGCUGAUGCCAUGGCUUCAAGUACACCGAAUGCUUUCUCCAUCUUGCCGACUAAGCCAUAUCCAUCAAUCAGUGAAUUAAAUGUAAUAACGUUGGGUCUUUCACCUAUAUGUAUAACCAAGUCAAAGAUAUCCUGUGCAUCCACAACUCUUCCUUCUUUGCAUAGACUGUUUAUUAUUGAACUGAAGAACGCAAUGUUAGGACAAGGAAUGCCUCUGCUCAUCAUUUCAGAAACCAACUCCUUCGCUUUAACCAAAUUACCAUACAUACAAAACCGCUGAAUAAGGGAGUGAUAAACAAUUCCGUUCGGUUUUAGUCCCAUAGCAAUCAUCUGGUCGAAUUUGUCCAUAGCAUCAGCCAGCCGACC